Lolium perenne is the source of this 1637-nucleotide non-coding RNA. NCBI's taxonomy places the organism in Eukaryota, Viridiplantae, Streptophyta, Magnoliopsida, Poales, Poaceae. The record is from RefSeq and is a predicted model, not a curated record.
CAGAGUUUGAGAAUUUGGGCUCUGAAUUUACUGGUGUGUGAACAAAUUAGCAUUGAUAUGAUGCCUACUUUCCAGGUUCCCUUGCACGUUCAGUGUAAAUCAAUAAUGCUGCUGCUUAUCUUAUAGUAUGCUGAUAGUAAUUAUUACCAAUUUAGUGGUGCAUUUAGCGGGUCUUAGUUUUAUCUUACCAAGUAUAAAGUCACAUUCUGUGUAUUUAGCAUAGCAAUUCCAACGAAUGAUAGGAUCCUGAUUUGUUUCUACUUGAUGAGUCCGAAAAUCAUGUCGAUUUCGACACCUGAUCUGUUCCUUCUUGCCUCCUUGGUGUAGAUUCCAGCAUUUAGUUGAUAGCGGAUGCUCGCAUAAUUUAUCCACCUUUCGCUAUCUCUUUAGUGUGACUCUUUCCUUGUGUAUUCUUGGCCUUUUAUCUUCUUAGUAAGCACAGAAGGAGAAGAAAUUAUCUACUUUCAAACAUUAAAUUAACGUUAUGGUGAUUUGUUCCUUUCUGCAUUUAAGCUCUUUUUGAUUUCCCCAUAGUAAAUCGGUUGGCACCAAUGAACUGCUCGCUCGGCUCAGCUGUUUGUGUUUUUGUUUCAGACUUUUUGCUCACCUCCGGCCUAAACCCUCAUGUUUUCCUCUUCUAAUCUUUUGUGAAUCAAUUGGUGUUUCAAUUCCUCUCUUGGUUAACAUGUAUCGCCACUACAGUAAUAAAUAGGUAUUUUCCCUCCCAAUUGGCUCUCUCUCUAUAACGCCUCCUUCAAUAGUUCACAAUGGUUCUAUGUAGUCUUAGGUACCGCCACUGCCAGGACAUCAUCAGGGUGCGUAAGUAUUCGAUGAUACCUCUCAAGAAUAUGAUCCUUACAGGAUCAUGCGAUAGUUAAUCGGAUUUCCUGCAAAUUGAUAUGCUCAGUUACUACUAGCAGUCUUUAUGUAUACAUGUUUAUUUUCUUCCUGUGUGCUUGGUACAACUAUUGGUAUUUCAGUUAUUGUUGCUGCUGAUAGAAUGUCAUGGCAAAUGCAUGUUUUGCAAUGAGAAGACGAUGAACCUGAAUGUGCUAGAGAGAUAUACUAUAAAAAGAACAAAAAUAAAUGAUAAGUAGCAAACCAAAUGGUUUGGGACCUAUUAAUUCUUUUGCUUGGCAAUAUUCUUGAUGGGAUUAAUUUUAAGACUUCGAGUUCCUUCUGUUACAAGAUUUUCUGUUUUCAUUUGAACGAGAUGAUGGGUGAUUGUAUUGAAGAUGCAUGAGGAAAAAAUAAUAGGCAAAUGAUCUUACACUUUCUUAUAUUGUGCAAUAUGCAUCAAAUUUCCCCGGCGACAACGAUAAAGUUGGGCCUUCAGCAAAGAAAGAGACCGUCGUGAUCCUCCACUCCACCAAAGGAAAAAAAAUCCAUGGUCUUCGACUCCCCCAACCGUCAUAUGAUGGCGACAGAAAGCGCUCAUAUCUCCGAAGCUACAAAGCAUUAUGGUUAUCUUGGUAGUACCUUCUUUCGGUUUUCAUCACCACAUAUAUGUAUGUAGGGAUUCAAUAUGCAUUCUUUCAUGUACCGCAAACUGGCAAGCUUGAUAUGAUUUGGAAAGAUAUUUCUGUUUUUAAAAGCCUCUUUCUCUCAUGUCUACAACUAUUUUAAGGUGAUACUAC